This 417-nucleotide unclassified non-coding RNA is filed under the name Hevea brasiliensis (rubber tree). Lineage: Eukaryota; Viridiplantae; Streptophyta; Magnoliopsida; Malpighiales; Euphorbiaceae. The record is from RNAcentral.
GCCAAAUUUGCUGGUGGACAUGGCGGAGGGAAUGCUGCUUUCGCCGCCAAGAAUAACCUCUUCCGAUGACUCUGCAGGAACUUCCGAUGGAGAGAGUCUGUGGAGCUAUUUUUAAUACAUAAUCAGUUUAUAGAAUGCUAGCUCCUUAAUCUCUAAAUUUCAAGAAUGGAUCGAUUAACAUGAAGCGUAACAACAUAUAGAAAGAUACAAGAGGACAUGGCCGCAUCUAGUGACCUUUUUUUUGCACAAUUGGCCUCUCAUCGAUCAAUGAAUAAAAAGAAGAGAUCAUGGAGGGAAAUUCAAGAAAAACAGGAUCAAAGAAUUUUUAACAGUGAUUCCCAACACGUAGAGUUUUUGAAUCUGAUCAUUCAGAAGAGUGAGAGAUUUUAGGGUUUGCAUAAUAUGGUGAUCUGUGAG